Mauremys mutica (yellowpond turtle) is the source of this 633-nucleotide long non-coding RNA. RefSeq lists it as uncharacterized. The record is from RefSeq and is a predicted model, not a curated record. NCBI's taxonomy places the organism in Eukaryota, Metazoa, Chordata, Testudines, Geoemydidae. The transcript is spliced from 5 exons.
UCGCCUCCCCCCGAGAGUGGGGUAGGUGCGUGACGCGAGGCGUGCGUACCCCGCCCUGUACUGGGGGGGUGGGGCUGCCGCCUCGCGCCCUCAGGCUGAGGGGAGGCGAAAGUGGCCUUCGAGGCCCCGUCCCCAGGGCGAUGAGGGCUAAGCCCUCAGCUCCUGGAGUCCCCUGCUGAGGGCAGAGGUGCCGCUUCCCAGCCCCCAGUUAUAGCUGGCAACAAGGCCUGAGUCUGCAGAGAGCCUGGUGCGGUAGCUGAGAGAGGUGACCACCCCUGGCCCUGAAACAUCUCAGAACUGACUUCUCUGAUCCUCCAGUUGCAGAAGACAGUCUCACAAUGGGGGACAGAACACACUUUCUGAUUGAGGCCUUGCAUAUCAAGGAAAACAGUCCCACCCUUGAUCAGCAGCACCGGAACAGCAUGACCUUUACAGAACCAGCAGCAGCAACCUGUUUUGUUUGGGCUGUGCGGAUGCAUCUUGCAAAGACCUCUAGUGGACAUCUGAAGCAGCACACCAGAUAAAAUGCCAUCUGGUAUAAUGGAAUAGACAAGGACUGCUUCCUUAGAAGAGGAGUGUGCGAGAGAGAUCACCCUGAGGAGAGUCUCACGGGCAGAGAGAGCGCGCAUGCUG